RNAcentral lists this ribosomal RNA (490 nucleotides) under uncultured bacterium. RNAcentral's name for it is "partial 16S ribosomal RNA". It matches the Rfam family "Bacterial small subunit ribosomal RNA", at positions 30 to 507 of the family's 1533-position model. The record is from RNAcentral.
AUUGAACGCUGGCGGCAGGCCUAACACAUGCAAGUCGAACGGUAACAGGAAGCAGCUUGCUGCUUUGCUGACGAGUGGCGGACGGGUGAGUAAUGUCUGUGAAAUUGCCUGAUGGAGGGGGUUAACUACUGGAAACGGAAGCUAAUACCGCAUAACGUCGCAAGACCAAAGAGGGGGACCUUCGGGCCUCUUGCCAUCGGCUGUGCCCAGAUGGGAUUAGCUAGUAGGUGGGGUAACGGCUCACCUAGGCGACGAUCCCUAGCUGGUCUGAGAGGAUGACCGGCCACACUGGAACUGAGACACGGUCCAGACUCCUACGGGAGGCAGCAGUGGGGAAUAUUGCACAAUGGGCGCAAGCCUGAUGCAGCCAUGCCGCGUGUAUGAAGAAGGCCUUCGGGUUGUAAAGUACUUUUAGCGGGGAGGAAGGGAGUAAUGUUAAUACCUUUGCUCAUUGACGUUACCCGCUGAAGAAGCACCGGCUAACUCCGUG